This 254-nucleotide ribosomal RNA is filed under the name uncultured bacterium. RNAcentral's name for it is "partial 16S ribosomal RNA". It matches the Rfam family "Bacterial small subunit ribosomal RNA", at positions 524 to 776 of the family's 1533-position model. The record is from RNAcentral.
UACGUAGGGUGCGAGCGUUGUCCGGAAUUAUUGGGCGUAAAGAGCUCGUAGGCGGUGUGUCACGUCGGCCGUGAAAACCUGCAGCUUAACUGUGGGCGUGCGGUCGAUACGGGCAUCACUGGAGUUCGGCAGGGGAGACUGGAAUUCCUGGUGUAGCGGUGAAAUGCGCAGAUAUCAGGAGGAACACCGGUGGCGAAGGCGGGUCUCUGGGCCGAUACUGACGCUGAGGCGCGAAAGCUAGGGGAGCAAACAGG